AUUGAGCGCUGGCGGCAGGCCUAACACAUGCAGGUCGAGCGGAUGAACGGAGCUUGCUCCUGGAUUCAGCGGCGGACGGGUGAGUAAUGCCUAGGAAUCUGCCUGGUAGUGGGGGAUAACGUCCGGAGACGGGCGCUACUACCGCAUACGUCCUGAUGGAGCAAGUGGGGGAGCUUCGGACCUCACGCUAUCAGAUGAGCCUAGGUGGGAUUAGCUAGUUGGUGGGGUAAAGGCCUACCAAGGCGACGAUCCGUAACUGGUCUGAGAGGAUGAUCAGUCACACUGGAACUGAGACACGGUCCAGACUCCUACGGGAGGCAGCAGUGGGGAAUAUUGGACAAUGGGCGAAAGCCUGAUCCAGCCAUGCCGCGUGUGUGAAGAAGGUCUUCGGAUUGUAAAGCACUUUAAGUUGGGAGGAAGGGCAGUAAGUUAAUACCUUGCUGUUUUGACGUUACCAACAGAAUAAGCACCGGCUAACUUCGUG
RNAcentral lists this ribosomal RNA (484 nucleotides) under uncultured bacterium. RNAcentral's name for it is "partial 16S ribosomal RNA". It matches the Rfam family "Bacterial small subunit ribosomal RNA", at positions 30 to 507 of the family's 1533-position model. The record is from RNAcentral.